UUGGCGGCGUGGUUAAGACAUGCAAGUCGAACGAGAGAAUUGCUAGCUUGCUAAUAAUUCUCUAGUGGCGCACGGGUGAGUAACACGUGAGUAACCUGCCCCCGAGAGCGGGAUAGCCCUGGGAAACUGGGAUUAAUACCGCAUAGUAUCGAAAGAUUAAAGCAGCAAUGCGCUUGGGGAUGGGCUCGCGGCCUAUUAGUUAGUUGGUGAGGUAACGGCUCACCAAGGCGAUGACGGGUAGCCGGUCUGAGAGGAUGUCCGGCCACACUGGAACUGAGACACGGUCCAGACACCUACGGGUGGCAGCAGUCGAGAAUCAUUCACAAUGGGGGAAACCCUGAUGGUGCGACGCCGCGUGGGGGAAUGAAGGUCUUCGGAUUGUAAACCCCUGUCAUGUGGGAGCAAAUUAAAAAGAUAGUACCACAAGAGGAAGAGACGGCUAACCCUGUGCCAGCAGCCGCGGUAAUACAGAGGUCUCAAGCGUUGUUCGGAAUCACUGGGCGUAAAGCGUGCGUAGGCUGUUUCGUAAGUCGUGUGUGAAAGGCGCGGGCUCAACCCGCGGACGGCACAUGAUACUGCGAGACUAGAGUAAUGGAGGGGGAACCGGAAUUCACGGUGUAGCAAAUCACUAGUGAAUUC
This 639-nucleotide ribosomal RNA is filed under the name uncultured Akkermansia sp. RNAcentral describes it as "bacterial SSU rRNA". It matches the Rfam family "Bacterial small subunit ribosomal RNA", at positions 36 to 698 of the family's 1533-position model. The record is from RNAcentral. Lineage: Bacteria; Pseudomonadati; Verrucomicrobiota; Verrucomicrobiia; Verrucomicrobiales; Akkermansiaceae.